This 465-nucleotide ribosomal RNA is filed under the name Vreelandella stevensii. Its description in RNAcentral is "partial 16S ribosomal RNA". It matches the Rfam family "Bacterial small subunit ribosomal RNA", at positions 338 to 795 of the family's 1533-position model. Lineage: Bacteria; Pseudomonadati; Pseudomonadota; Gammaproteobacteria; Oceanospirillales; Halomonadaceae. The record is from RNAcentral.
CCUACGGGGGGCUGUAGUGGGGAAUAUUGGACAAUGGGGGCAACCCUGAUCCAGCCAUGCCGCGUGUGUGAAGAAGGCCCUCGGGUUGUAAAGCACUUUCAGUGAGGAAGAACGCCUGGUGGUUAAUACCCAUCAGGAAAGACAUCACUCACAGAAGAAGCACCGGCUAACUCCGUGCCAGCAGCCGCGGUAAUACGGAGGGUGCGAGCGUUAAUCGGAAUUACUGGGCGUAAAGCGCGCGUAGGUGGCUUGAUAAGCCGGUUGUGAAAGCCCCGGGCUCAACCUGGGAACGGCAUCCGGAACUGUCAAGCUAGAGUGCAGGAGAGGAAGGUAGAAUUCCCGGUGUAGCGGUGAAAUGCGUAGAGAUCGGGAGGAAUACCAGUGGCGAAGGCGGCCUUCUGGACUGACACUGACACUGAGGUGCGAAAGCGUGGGUAGCAAACAGGAUUAGAUACCCCUGUAGUC